GACGAACGCUGGCGGCGUGCUUAACACAUGCAAGUCGAACGAUGAACCCGGAGCUUGCUCCGGUGGAUUAGUGGCGAACGGGUGAGUAACACGUGAGUAACCUGCCCUUGACUCUGGGGUAACUGCGGGAAACUGUAGCUAAUACCGGAUACGACCCUCGGCGGCAUCGCCAGGGGGUGGAAAGAAUUUCGGUCAAGGAUGGACUCGCGGCCUAUCAGCUAGUUGGUGAGGUAACGGCUCACCAAGGCGACGACGGGUAGCCGGCCUGAGAGGGUGACCGGCCACACUGGGACUGAGACACGGCCCAGACUCCUACGGGAGGCAGCAGUGGGGAAUAUUGCACAAUGGGCGCAAGCCUGAUGCAGCGACGCCGCGUGAGGGAUGACGGCCUUCGGGUUGUAAACCUCUUUCAGCACCGACGAAGCGCAAGUGACGGUAGGUGCAGAAGCAGGACCGGCCAACUACGUGCCAGCAGCCGCGGUAA
RNAcentral lists this ribosomal RNA (484 nucleotides) under uncultured bacterium. Its description in RNAcentral is "partial 16S ribosomal RNA". It matches the Rfam family "Bacterial small subunit ribosomal RNA", at positions 28 to 523 of the family's 1533-position model. The record is from RNAcentral.